ACCCGCUGAACUUAAGCAUAUCAAUAAGCGGAGGAAAAGAAACCAACAGGGAUUGCCCUAGUAACGGCGAGUGAAGCGGCAACAGCUCAAAUUUGAAAUCUGGCGUCUUUGGCGUCCGAGUUGUAAUUUGCAGAGGGCGCUUUGGCAUUGGCAGCGGUCCAAGUUCCUUGGAACAGGACGUCACAGAGGGUGAGAAUCCCGCGCGUGGUCGCUAGCCUUUACCGUGUAAAGCCCCUUCGACGAGUCGAGUUGUUUGGGAAUGCAGCUCUAAAUGGGAGGUAAAUUUCUUCUAAAGCUAAAUACUGGCCAGAGACCGAUAGCGCACAAGUAGAGUGAUCGAAAGAUGAAAAGCACCUUGGAAAGAGAGUUAAAAAGCACGUGAAAUUGUUGAAAGGGAAGCGCUUGCAGCCAGACUUGCCUGUAGUUGCUCAUCCGGGUUUUUACCCGGUGCACUCUUCUAUAGGCAGGCCAGCAUCAGUUUGGGCGGUUGGAUAAAGGUCUCUGUCAUGUACCUCUCUUCGGGGAGAACUUAUAGGGGAGACGACAUGCAACCAGCCCGGACUGAGGUCCGCGCAUCUGCUAGGAUGCUGGCGUAAUGGCUGU
RNAcentral lists this ribosomal RNA (603 nucleotides) under uncultured fungus. RNAcentral describes it as "eukaryotic LSU rRNA". It matches the Rfam family "Eukaryotic large subunit ribosomal RNA", at positions 23 to 641 of the family's 3401-position model. The record is from RNAcentral. Lineage: Eukaryota; Fungi.